AUAAAUUAAUGAUUAUUCAGUCUUUAAUAGUCUGCAAUCUUUACUUCAGUUCUUCGAUCAUUUUAGAGGGAAAAGCAUUUUUAAGGUAUUUUAAGAAGAGCAGAUAUGGGUUUAGCUUUCACAGACAGAUCUUGAGUCUCUACAUGUUUAUUCUAGCAGCUCAGGAAGCUACUGAACCUUACUCUUAAAUGACUAUGGCUUCAAUUCUGAAAUUUCAUGUUGGCAAUGAAGGCUUUGUUUGCAGGGAAGUGCCAUUUAUUUAUUUGUAUAGUACGAUGUGUCAUAUUAUAAAUGUUAUUGAUAGAGCUAAAAGAACAAGAGUGAAUACCUAAGAAAAUAUUAAAUACAUACAACAAACAAAAGGAAAAACCUUCUGAAGGUACUGAAGAGAGGCAACACAGGAAAUCAGAUUAAUUAUUCAGAGGAAACUGACAGAGCCAACUGCAGAGAUAUCCCAGGAGGACUGCGGCAGCAUCACUUUAUCCACCAUAAACGGAUAGAGGUAGCAUGUUUACGAGGAGGAAGCGACUUUUAAAGGGCCUGCCUCAGUGCUGUUUGAUAGAGAGAUUGCUCAGAUAAAUGGCAGUUGAUUUCUGCAUACAUGUUGUUGCAUUAUUAAUGCAUCUGAGGUUGUUUAUAAGCAGUUAGAGCCAGUGAGGCCAGGCGUCAUCCAGCCAUUACUUAGAGCGAUAAAAUCACUAGAUGACAUAUGUGGUUAAAGUAGAAAUCAAAUAAUCAAGGCCAUUGCCCAAGCUUUUUUUAAGAUGAGAAAUAAUAGGCUAUGCCUUACGUCAACAUACAUUUAUUUCAAAUGUUUACUGUGAGAAAUGAAAGCUACAAGAUGAUGCAAUGACAGAUAUUUAUAUGGCAUGAUAGAUAGAAAAUGCUCACAUCUACUAUUAUAACAUCCCCUCAUACUGUAAUAUGCAAUGAAGUAUCUGUUCAUGUGCAAUGAGGAGUUUUGCCUUUAGGGGGCAAUGUAUCUGUACUUAACAUUAUCUUGUUUACUUCAUGUUUUAUAAUCUCUACUUGAUGUUUUGGAUUUUGCAGUGUGGAAUCCUGAGUGAAUACUUCACACGUUUACAUUUCUUUUUUUUAUUUGACAUACAGACCUGCUACAAUGUUUUGCAUAGAAUAUGACUGCAAAAGAAAAUGCGUUAUUUACAGACCUCACAGAAAUCAAAGGGAAAACAGGGUGUAAAUUCACCAUUCAUCGUUUGGAAAAGACGUGUAUUCAUUCAAAUGUUACAUGGUCUGAGUACAUUGUAUCAUUUGCAAUUAAGCAACACAGCGCUUUGCUUACAUUUUCAUAUUGCACUUAGGACAAAGUGACAUUUUGAGGUUUUCGAUAUUACAAUUUCAUAAGGAUAAUUGAAAAGAAAGGCUUGUUUAAAAAAUCAACCAAAUUAACAUAAUGCUUAAAGCUUGUUCUUUUUGUGCCUCACAACCAAGCAAUAUUAAAAGACCAUAGUACAAACUCUGCUGUGCGACGGUACAUCUAAGUACCGAACAUUAUUUGGGAGAGCUGUUUACAAAACAAAGUGAACUAGUUUUCAAUACAGCUCUGCUUAUAUACAAAACCCUACAUUUACAUGAAUUGGGGUAAAACGGCACUCUUGAUAGUCAGUGUCUUUCAAGGAUCUGAGAAAACCCAGCUAAAGUCAAUCUUAAUGUUUUUUUAUACAUAAAAUCAUCCUAUUUUAUGAACAUUCUGUGAAAAUAUAACUUUAAUAUCUUGAAUAUUAACCAAAGAUUGAAACAAUGUGAAAUCAAAUCUUGAUGCUCUCAUAAUUAGAUCCUGGAUUUGCACAUACAGGGUCAUAUCUGAGACCUCUCAUUACAUUAAAAUGACCCCACUAAUGCCAACAAUUGAACAUUUCACAGAUGACGUUAUCCACUUUAGAUUAAAAACCGUUAAAGCUGCCUGAUUAACUGCCUGGUCCAGGGGAAAUGAAAAAAAAAAAGAUCCCAUAGUCAUAAAGUUUUCAGGAUGCCCAAAAUUAAACCUUUACAAAUAAUAUUAGUGAUAAAAUUCUGCAUCAUCUAUUUACACAAAUAAUUAUUACUAUGAAAAGGAGGCGAAGUAUAAAUCACACUUCAAAACAAAUAAA
Molecule: non-coding RNA, 2111 nt
Organism: Paramisgurnus dabryanus
Lineage: Eukaryota; Metazoa; Chordata; Actinopteri; Cypriniformes; Cobitidae
Source: RefSeq, a predicted model, not a curated record